CCUACGGGAGGCAGCAGUGAGGAAUAUUCGUCAAUGGCCGGAAGGCUGAACCAGCAAUGCCGCGUGAAGGUCAGUGCCCUAUGGGCGUUAAACCCCUUUUGUGCGGGAGCAAUAAUGGUCACGUGUGGCCAGACGAGAGUACCGUACGAAUAAGCAUCGGCUAACCCCGUGUCAGCAGCAGCGGUAAUACGGGGGAUGCAAGCGUUAUCCGGAUUUAUUGGGUUUAAAGGGUGCGUAGGGUGUGAGGUAAGUCAGCGGUGAAAUGCCCCCGCUCAACGGGGUGAAGUGCCAUUGAUACUGCCUGGCUGGAAUGCGGAUGCGGUGGGAGGAAUGUGUGGUGUAGCGGUGAAAUGCAUAGAUAUCACACAGAACACCGAUUGCGAAGGCAGCUCACGAAUCCGCGAUUGACGCUGAUGCACGAAAGCGUGGGUAUCAAACAGGAUUAGAUACCCCAGUAGUC
Molecule: ribosomal RNA, 460 nt
Filed under: uncultured bacterium
Lineage: Bacteria
Description: partial 16S ribosomal RNA
Rfam family: Bacterial small subunit ribosomal RNA
Source: RNAcentral